GCCGUAUCGGUUAGAUCGGGAUACUCAUCAAAUUAUUUCGAAAACCGGGAUUACUUUGUUGUCAAUGGCGGGCCACAUCCCUCGGGACAGUUCCUCGGAACCGGUGGAUUACAACGACUUCAGAGCUCCCAAAUCUUAAGAAAACGGAGUUUUCAUCACAUCAUCGGUACGGCCUUUUU
Molecule: small RNA, 179 nt
Filed under: uncultured Prevotella sp.
Lineage: Bacteria; Pseudomonadati; Bacteroidota; Bacteroidia; Bacteroidales; Prevotellaceae
Description: Bacteroidales-1 6S-Bacteroidales RNA suggested
Rfam family: Bacteroidales-1 6S-Bacteroidales RNA suggested
Source: RNAcentral